Molecule: transfer RNA, 71 nt
Filed under: Phlogotettix monozoneus
Lineage: Eukaryota; Metazoa; Arthropoda; Insecta; Hemiptera; Cicadellidae
Description: tRNA-Trp
Source: RNAcentral
GAGACUUUAAGUUAAAUUCAACAAACUUAUAGCCUUCAAAGUUAUAUAUAUCUAAGACGGGGUAAGUCUUA